GAUCAUGGCUCAGAUUGAACGCUGGCGGCAGGCCUAACACAUGCAAGUCGAGCGGAUGAGAGGAGCUUGCUCCCUGAUUUAGCGGCGGACGGGUGAGUAAUGCCUAGGAAUCUGCCUGGUAGUGGGGGAUAACGUUCCGAAAGGAACGCUAAUACCGCAUACGUCCUACGGGAGAAAGCAGGGGACCUUCGGGCCUUGCGCUAUCAGAUGAGCCUAGGUCGGAUUAGCUAGUUGGUGAGGUAAUGGCUCACCAAGGCGACGAUCCGUAACUGGUCUGAGAGGAUGAUCAGUCACACUGGAACUGAGACACGGUCCAGACUCCUACGGGAGGCAGCAGUGGGGAAUAUUGGACAAUGGGCGAAAGCCUGAUCCAGCCAUGCCGCGUGUGUGAAGAAGGUCUUCGGAUUGUAAAGCACUUUAAGUUGGGAGGAAGGGCAUUAACCUAAUACGUUAGUGUUUUGACGUUACCGACAGAAUAAGCACCGGCUAACUUCGUGCCAGCCGCCGCGGUAAUUCAA
Molecule: ribosomal RNA, 518 nt
Filed under: uncultured Pseudomonas sp.
Lineage: Bacteria; Pseudomonadati; Pseudomonadota; Gammaproteobacteria; Pseudomonadales; Pseudomonadaceae
Description: bacterial SSU rRNA
Rfam family: Bacterial small subunit ribosomal RNA
Source: RNAcentral